ACAGGGCUCCAUAGCUUCCAUUUUUAAAACCUGGGAACCAGAAGCAGAGACCGGGCCACCCUGAAGUUCCGUGCGUGCGGAGGGGAACGGGUUGGCAUGAUGAAGCACCUUUCAGACCUCAGCCUGCAGUCCAUCCUGAAGAGACAUCAGGGCAGGAACUCAAGGCAAAAACCUGGAGGCAUGGACUGAAGCAGAAGCCAGAGGAGCGCUGCUUGCUGGCUUGUGCUCAAAGCUCACCUUUCUUUCUUUCAUCUGUUUUUCUUGCUGCUCCCAGGACCACCUGCCCAGAAGUAACAUCACCAACAAUAGCUGGGUGCUCCCGCAUUAAUCCAUAAUCACAAAAAUGCCUCCCAGACGAGCCUACAGUCUGAUGGAGACACUUCUCAAAUAAAGCUUCUUCUUUCUAAA
This is a long non-coding RNA of Apodemus sylvaticus (European woodmouse), 408 nucleotides long. RefSeq lists it as uncharacterized. The transcript is spliced from 2 exons. NCBI's taxonomy places the organism in Eukaryota, Metazoa, Chordata, Mammalia, Rodentia, Muridae. The record is from RefSeq and is a predicted model, not a curated record.